Molecule: ribosomal RNA, 481 nt
Filed under: uncultured bacterium
Lineage: Bacteria
Description: bacterial SSU rRNA
Rfam family: Bacterial small subunit ribosomal RNA
Source: RNAcentral
AUUGAACGCUGGCGGAAUGCUUUACACAUGCAAGUCGAACGGCAGCACGGACUUCGGUCUGGUGGCGAGUGGCGAACGGGUGAGUAAUAUAUCGGAACGUGCCCAGUCGUGGGGGAUAACGUAGUGAAAAUUACGCUAAUACCGCAUACGAUCUAAGGAUGAAAGCGGGGGAUCGCAAGACCUCGCGCGAUUGGAGCGGCCGAUAUCAGAUUAGGUAGUUGGUGAGGUAAAGGCUCACCAAGCCAACGAUCUGUAGCUGGUCUGAGAGGACGACCAGCCACACUGGAACUGAGACACGGUCCAGACUCCUACGGGAGGCAGCAGUGGGGAAUUUUGGACAAUGGACGCAAGUCUGAUCCAGCCAUUCCGCGUGCAGGACGAAGGCCUUCGGUUGUAAACUGCUUUGUACAGAACGAAAAGGUCUCUAUUAAUACUAGGGCGUCAUGACGGUACUGUAAGAAUAAGCACCGGCUAACUACGU